AGUAAAAGUCGUAACAAGGUUUCCGUAGGUGAACCUGCGGAAGGAUCACUAGUGAUUAAAUCGAGCGUGUCUUCAUUGACCGCUCACCCUUCUCACCAUCCACAUACACCUGUGCACUGUUUAGCCUGAGCCGGUUUUCCGGUCCAGGUUAUCAUUUCAUACAAACUCUAGUCUUAUGAAUGUAAACGUUUUAAUAACAUAAUAAAACUUUCAACAACGGAUCUCUUGGUUCUCGCAUCGAUGAAGAACGCAGCGAAAUGCGAUAAGUAAUGUGAAUUGCAGAAUUCAGUGAAUCAUCGAAUCUUUGAACGCACCUUGCGCUCCUUGGUAUUCCGAGGAGCAUGCCUGUUUGAGUGUCAUGAAACUCUCACCCUCUAGCUUUCUUAAUCGUGGCUAGCGGCGUGGACGUGAGCGCUGCUGCUUUGUUGCGGCUCGCUCGAAAUGCAUUAGCAGACCCCUUUCGUAAUCGGUUCCACUCAACGUGAUAAGUAUUUCGUUGAGGACAGUUGCAGCAAUGCGGCUGGCCGGGAUAGGAAAGGCAUAGUUGUCAGCUUCUAAUCGCCCUUGGGCAAUUUUUUAUGAUCUGGCCUCAAAUCAGGUAGGACUACCCGCUGAACUUAAGCAUAUCAAUAAGCGGAGGAAAAGAAACUAACAAGGAUUCCCCUAGUAACGGCGAGUGAAGCGGGAUGAGCUCAAAUUUAAAAUCUGGCGGUCUCAGAUCGUCCGGGUUGUAGUCUAGAGAAGCGUCUUCCGUGC
This 756-nucleotide ribosomal RNA is filed under the name uncultured fungus. RNAcentral describes it as "eukaryotic LSU rRNA". The stretch from base 206 to 359 matches the Rfam family "5.8S ribosomal RNA". Lineage: Eukaryota; Fungi. The record is from RNAcentral.